ACGUAGGGGGCAAGCGUUAUCCGGAAUUACUGGGUGUAAAGGGAGAGUAGGCGGCAUGGUAAGUAAGAUGUGAAAGCCCGUGGCUUAACCGCGGGAUUGCAUUUUAAACUAUCAAGCUUGAGUACAGGAGAGGAAAGCGGAAUUCCUAGUGUAGCGGUGAAAUGCGUAGAUAUUAGGAAGAACACCAGUGGCGAAGGCGGCUUUCUGGACUGAAACUGACGCUGAGGCUCGAAAGCGUGGGGAGCGAACAGGAUUAGAUACCCUGGUAGUCCACGCCGUAAACGAUGAGUGCUAGGUGUCGGGGAGAGAUUCCCGGUGCCGGAGCAAACGCAAUAAGCACUCCACCUGGGGAGUACGAUCGCAAGAUUG
This 369-nucleotide ribosomal RNA is filed under the name uncultured bacterium. Its description in RNAcentral is "bacterial SSU rRNA". It matches the Rfam family "Bacterial small subunit ribosomal RNA", at positions 525 to 896 of the family's 1533-position model. The record is from RNAcentral.